UCCGGAUAAGCUCGGCUGUCUGCAGGGAGCGUCCCCGCCCCGACGCGAGGGUCCCCGCCUCCCGCGACCGCACCGCCCACCGGCUCCGCCCGCUCAGCCCGGCUAACGGUCGGCGCAGCCUGCCACGAGGGAGCGUCCGCGGCCCGCGCAGAGACGUGCACCAAGCCGAUGGCGUGGACGCGGCCGGGCCCGGCGCGUGGGCCGCCAGAGCGUGAGUCCAGCCAGGCGAGUGCUUCAGUCCGCGUGCGGGCAGGCGCGCGUGGGCGUGUCUCCCCGGGCCCACGCGCGUCCCCUUGAAUCAGUGUCUCGGCUCUCUUCCAGGACGACGACUUCUGAAAGCGAGCCAAGGAGAUCCGCAGUUCAUAUUGGACUUCUGGCUGCCUGUGGAAGGAGGUGAUUCAGAAGACAGGAAGAAGCCCAAGGAAAAUUUAUCUCCAGUCUCUGGAGUUUGAUGAGGCUCAAGGAGAGACAUCUCAACAUCGUGGGGUUCCAGCUGCCUGUGCUCUCCCAGUUCUUAUGGCCAGAUUUGAAUUGUCAGGAAUCUAACAGCACAUUAAAACUUCAAGACAAAGCAGUGGACUCCAGCAGUGUUACCACCUUGAAGACAGGAGUGUGGAAGAGAAUCAUGAAAGUGAAGAUUUGGGCAAACAGCUCACCCUUGCAGUUGUCUUAAAGAGUGAUUAAUUUCCCUUUCAGUACCGUCUACCCGAGCCGAAGUGCUUCUGCAGAGACGAUCCUGUGAAGCCUGUUUAGGGGAUCAUCCCCGCUAGACAGACAGCUGCGAGGGGGCACCGCUUCCCAGCGUGGAUUUCAGAUUAUGACCAAUCAAAGGCCGAAGCUAAGGAACACCUGUCAGCGGCGUUUGCUGCAAGGAGACCAGCUCUUUAAUCAAAUUUCAUUGUACUUCAGAAAAAGGUUUAUUUUAAAUGUGGCGUCUGCUUUUAUGAUUCAUCCCUCUCAGCUGAGACAUCAAUUUGGGGCUUAUUUAUGAUGUUGUUUUAGGGUAAAACGAGAAACUGCAAGAAAAUAUUUCAAGAAAGUGGCCUUUCCCAGACAUUUAAUUAGCAACUUUCUAAGAUGGGAAAAUACAAAAUUGAAAACUUUAGUUUUAAAUUUCUGUGUAUGAAUAUAAUUAGUGUUAGGGAUUCUUUUGAGGACACCUCAGAAUGUUGAUGCUUGUCGUGAAGUCUGGAGAACUUGCCUUGUGGAAAUCCGUUCCGCUUAUCUGUGAGCAGUGCAAACUAUCAUUGAUACUGAUGGGUUCAGAAAGGCCAUGCCUGCUUUCAACUUGGCCCUAAUUGGAGGCCCCGCUAAGUCCAUAAUACCAGGUACUUUCUCACAGCUGCAGACCAUGGAGUCUAACUAUCAGAAGACAAACUUCACUCUGCAAACUGUAACUUAAUGGUAUAACUGUGUGCAGCCCCGAAUAUCAGUUAAUUUUCAAAACAUUUUAUUCUACAGCAAUUAGCUCAGGUCCUGGAGGGCAAAAUGACAAGAGGUUACUCGUUCACUAUGUAUUUAAUUAAUUGAAAAAUGCUCCAAUUGCCUUUACAGUUGUUAUUAGAGAGCGGAAUCAGUGUUGCCAGCGCUCAACCAUAAUUGGAACCCCAGGGAAUUAAAUAUUUAGCAUUAGUAAUGUAACAGCACUUAGGACACAAAUUUCUAUUUUCGUAAUGAAAGCUAUACACUGUGAGAGCCAGCGGCUGAAAGGACAGCUGUGACAGGCGAACGGCCUGGGACAUUUCAAUAAGACACCUCAUUGGACAGCGAGUCUUACCACAUUAUGCGUUUGUAAGAGACCUGCAAGUUUAAUUCCCACGAGGAACUCAUAGCCCAAGUCUUUAGCGUCCUAAUUGCAUGCAGGAUGAGUGCUUGGGCAAAUGUCUUGCCAUAAGUGCCUGAAAUUCAUCCUGCUUUCUAAAUAAUCGCAUAUAAGUUCGUGCCUUUGUCAAUUUAAAAAUACUGAGACUGUCAGGGAAUAAGGAUCUUAUUUGUUUUCCAUUUAAUUAUAUUUUAAGCACACAUGCUUUCUGUGCUACAAUGAGAAAAGUUGGCUAUUGGGCUCUAAUGAGCUGCAGUGUAGACACUGGAGACCCUGAGGGAUUCGCUCCAUAAAUUAGCUGGAUAAAAAGUACUUGGUUAGGAUAUAGUUGAUGGCUGAGCUGUUCGCAGAACCAGUUACAGUACUGUCUCUCGCUCCUGUAUCAUUCUAAACAGGCUCUGUAGAGACUUUAACAGCUGCCUGUUAAAGCUGCUCAACUUGUCAAAAUGUAUUAUAUUACUCCACUAAUAAAUAGUAUUAAAGGGCAUUUGACUUCACCUCUCAUUUUCAGAGGGGAUCAGGUUGGUAAACACAACUGGCUUAGGCUGGCCUUAUUUUAAUUUGUUUAUGUCAGCUAAGUAAUAUUGAAGGGCCAUGUUUUAAAUUUGCAAGCAUUACCUUCCCAGGGAGGCAGAGCUUCCAAAAUAUGAUACGCAGUGGAAACAAGGGAUCGAGACACUUAUUGUAGAAUGUUUCUCAUUGAAAAACGUCAGAUUUUGACAUUCUUAGGCCACAUUUAAAGAACUUGAGAGCCCAUGGCUAAGCUGACAGUCUCAGAAAGUUUGGUUCCUUUGCGUUUUUCAUUUCUAGGAAAGUAAAAGUCACAAGAUAAAUAGUGUCACAACUUCCUUUUGAUUUUCCAUUGUUCCUCUGUCUAUUUUGGAUUAUUAUAAGUAAUCAUGAUUUUGUAUCCACUUUUAAACAAUUUUUCAAAACAAUGCAUGUUUACUUAAAAAAUAUACUUCAUUUGAUAAAGUCUUCCUUAGACCUUCCCUCAAC
This is a long non-coding RNA of Microtus ochrogaster (prairie vole), 2821 nucleotides long. RefSeq lists it as uncharacterized. The transcript is spliced from 5 exons. Lineage: Eukaryota; Metazoa; Chordata; Mammalia; Rodentia; Cricetidae. The record is from RefSeq and is a predicted model, not a curated record.